This 762-nucleotide ribosomal RNA is filed under the name Triticum aestivum (bread wheat). RNAcentral describes it as "partial small subunit ribosomal RNA". The record is from RNAcentral. Lineage: Eukaryota; Viridiplantae; Streptophyta; Magnoliopsida; Poales; Poaceae.
AUGGAGGCGGCAGGGGAUGGCUCCGUGGGCAUGUUCCGAGCAACGCCGGAUGCCGCCGCCGGCAUCGGCAGAUCUGCUGAGGUUGCUGCUCUCCUGAACAAGAUGGUGGAUGGCCUGGGAGCAACGGUUCUGGACAUCCCCGGGAGCCACGAAUUCACAGUCCAUCCAUCAACUCACCUUUUGAUACAAGCCCUGCAGAAUUACUCCCGCAACACAUAUUUGGUGGAGCCAGUGCAUCACGCCACUGACCCUUGCGCUCACAUGGUCGAUUGCUGGGCAGCCAAGCUCGAGGAAGAUGCAGAGAUGAUACGCCAAGGCGAAAAGGGUGUGAAAUACAUAUUCCUUAUGAACAACACAUGUCUUGUUUUGCAAAUGAUGGGGCGUCCAGGAGCAGCAUCUUUCGCCGGUGCUCAAGAAUUGGCGAGUAGGCUCACAUCAAUGGUGGAGCUGUACAAGAAGUGCUACUUGGACGAGUGUUGGGCUCCUCUGCAUCGCUUAAACUCGGACAUGUUUGCUGCUGAAUUUCGCGCCACCUGUGACUGCCAGUCGACAUGGAAGGUCGGAGCUGAGCUCAGGUACCACCUGCGGCAGGAGAUUGUGGAUUUCGUUGUUCCGCCGUAUGAGGCGUCCUUGUCUGACCGAAGCGCAUGUCCAGGGCCGUCCUUUUCGUUGAAACGAAUGGUGUUCGGAGGGAAGAAACAAAAGAGGUAUGAUACUGGUGCCCAACUGGAAGGGAAGAUAAGAGGAUUGUUUGAGGGAUGA